AUCGCUUCUCAGCCUUUUGGCUAAGAUGAUGUGUAGUAUCUGUUCUUAUCAGUUUAAUAUCUGAUACAUCCUCUAUCUGAGGACAUCAUAUUAAGUGUAUUUUUGCAAGUAGGAGUUGGAUCAGGAACUUGCUCCAUCCACUCCAUGCAUCAUCCUGGUAUUGCAGUACUUCCAGGGAUGGUGCAGCCCCA
This 191-nucleotide small nuclear RNA is filed under the name Echinops telfairi (small Madagascar hedgehog). RNAcentral describes it as "U2 spliceosomal RNA (ENSETEG00000021364.1)". It matches the Rfam family "U2 spliceosomal RNA". Rfam says of the family: U2 is a small nuclear RNA (snRNA) component of the spliceosome (involved in pre-mRNA splicing). Complementary binding between U2 snRNA (in an area lying towards the 5' end but 3' to hairpin I) and the branchpoint sequence (BPS) of the intron results the bulging out of an unpaired adenosine, on the BPS, which initiates a nucleophilic attack at the intronic 5' splice site, thus starting the first of two transesterification reactions that mediate splicing. Lineage: Eukaryota; Metazoa; Chordata; Mammalia; Afrosoricida; Tenrecidae. The record is from RNAcentral.